RNAcentral lists this ribosomal RNA (755 nucleotides) under uncultured Burkholderia sp. Its description in RNAcentral is "bacterial SSU rRNA". It matches the Rfam family "Bacterial small subunit ribosomal RNA", at positions 28 to 776 of the family's 1533-position model. The record is from RNAcentral. Lineage: Bacteria; Pseudomonadati; Pseudomonadota; Betaproteobacteria; Burkholderiales; Burkholderiaceae.
AUUGAACGCUGGCGGCAUGCCUUACACAUGCAAGUCGAACGGCAGCACGGGUGCUUGCACCUGGUGGCGAGUGGCGAACGGGUGAGUAAUACAUCGGAACAUGUCCUGUAGUGGGGGAUAGCCCGGCGAAAGCCGGAUUAAUACCGCAUACGAUCUACGGAUGAAAGCGGGGGACCUUCGGGCCUCGCGCUAUAGGGUUGGCCGAUGGCUGAUUAGCUAGUUGGUGGGGUAAAGGCCUACCAAGGCGACGAUCAGUAGCUGGUCUGAGAGGACGACCAGCCACACUGGGACUGAGACACGGCCCAGACUCCUACGGGAGGCAGCAGUGGGGAAUUUUGGACAAUGGGCGAAAGCCUGAUCCAGCAAUGCCGCGUGUGUGAAGAAGGCCUUCGGGUUGUAAAGCACUUUUGUCCGGAAAGAAAUCCUUGGCUCUAAUACAGUCGGGGGAUGACGGUACCGGAAGAAUAAGCACCGGCUAACUACGCGCCAGCAGCCGCGGUAAUACGUAGGGUGCGAGCGUUAAUCGGAAUUACUGGGCGUAAAGCGUGCGCAGGCGGUUUGCUAAGACCGAUGUGAAAUCCCCGGGCUCAACCUGGGAACUGCAUUGGUGACUGGCAGGCUAGAGUAUGGCAGAGGGGGGUAGAAUUCCACGUGUAGCAGUGAAAUGCGUAGAGAUGUGGAGGAAUACCGAUGGCGAAGGCAGCCCCCUGGGCCAAUACUGACGCUCAUGCACGAAAGCGUGGGGAGCAAACAGG